UACAGAGGGUGCAAGCGUUAAUCGGAAUUACUGGGCCUAAAGCGUGCGUAGACGGUCAUGUAAGUCGGGUGUGAAAGCCCCGGGCUCAACCUGGGAAUUGCAUUCGAGACUGCAUGGCUAGGAUGCGGAAGAGGGAAGCGGAAUUUCCGGUGUAGCGGUGAAAUGCGUAGAUAUCGGAAGGAACACCAGUGGCGAAAGCGGCUUCCUGGUCCAGCAUCGACGUUCAGGCACGAAAGCGUGGGGAGCAAACAGG
This 253-nucleotide ribosomal RNA is filed under the name uncultured bacterium. RNAcentral's name for it is "partial 16S ribosomal RNA". It matches the Rfam family "Bacterial small subunit ribosomal RNA", at positions 524 to 776 of the family's 1533-position model. The record is from RNAcentral.